AGAGUUUGAUCAUGGCUCAGAACGAACGCUGGCGGCAUGCUUAACACAUGCAAGUCGAACGAGGUCGGGGGCUUGCCUCCGGCCUAGUGGCGAACGGGUGAGUAACGCGUGGGAACCUGCCUUGGAGUGGGGGAUAACCACUGGAAACGGUGGCUAAUACCGCAUAUGGCCUGAGGGUCAAAGCCGCAAGGCGCUUUGAGAGGGGCCCGCGUCCGAUUAGGUAGUUGGUGGGGUAACGGCCUACCAAGCCUUCGAUCGGUAGCUGGUCUGAGAGGAUGAUCAGCCACACUGGGACUGCGACACGGCCCAGACUCCUACGGGAGGCAGCAGUGGGGAAUAUUGGACAAUGGGCGCAAGCCUGAUCCCAGCAAUGCCGCGUGCGUGAUGAAGGCCUUCGGGUUGUAAAGCGCUUUCGCCCACGACGAUGAUGACGGUAGUGGGAGAAGAAGCCCCGGCUAACUCCGUGCCAGCAGCCGCGGUAAUACGGAGGGGGCUAGCGUUGUUCGGAAUUACUGGGCGUAAAGGGUGCGUAGGCGGCUGUUCAAGUCAGACGUGAAAGGCCUGGGCUCAACCUGGGAACUGCGUUUGAGACUGGACGGCUCGAGUCCGGGAGAGGUGGGCGGAAUUCCCAGUGUAGAGGUGAAAUUCGUAGAUAUUGGGAAGAACACCGGUGGCGAAGCGGCUCACUGGACGGUACUGACGCUGAGCACGAAAGCGUGGGGAGCAAACAGGAUUAGAUACCCUAGUAGUCC
This 752-nucleotide ribosomal RNA is filed under the name uncultured bacterium. Its description in RNAcentral is "bacterial SSU rRNA". It matches the Rfam family "Bacterial small subunit ribosomal RNA", at positions 8 to 796 of the family's 1533-position model. The record is from RNAcentral.